RNAcentral lists this ribosomal RNA (512 nucleotides) under uncultured bacterium. RNAcentral's name for it is "bacterial SSU rRNA". It matches the Rfam family "Bacterial small subunit ribosomal RNA", at positions 1 to 524 of the family's 1533-position model. The record is from RNAcentral.
CCCCCAGUUUGAUCCUGGCUCAGAUUGAACGCUGGCGGCAUGCCUUACACAUGCAAGUCGAGCGGCAGCGCGGGGGCAACCCUGGCGGCGAGCGGCGAACGGGUGAGUAAUACAUCGGAACGUGUCCUUUCGUGGGGGAUAACCAGUCGAAAGACUGGCUAAUACCGCAUGAGAUCUCACGAUGAAAGCGAGGGACCGCAAGGCCUCGCGCGAUUGGAGCGGCCGAUGUCGGAUUAGCUAGUUGGUGAGGUAACGGCUCACCAAGGCGACGAUCAGUAUCUGGUCUGAGAGGAUGAUCAGCCACACUGGUACUUAGACACGGACCAGACUCCUACGGGAGGCAGCAGUGGGGAAUAUUGCGCAAUGGGCGAAAGCCUGACGCAGCAACGCCGCGUGGGUGAAGAAGGCAUUCGUGUCGUAAAACCCUGUCAGAUGGGAAGAAACCUGCGCAAGCAGCUGACGGUACCAUCAGAGGAAGCACCGGCUAACUCCGUGCCAGCAGCCCCGGUCAA